AUUAUUUUUUUUUUGUUUCUUAUUUCCACAACAAAUGGUGUUGGAAACAUUUUAAAAAAAAAAAAAAAGCAACUGCGAGGGGCAGGUUUUUUGAAUUGGACAUGUGGAAAUGGAUUCGGCCAUGUUGGUUUUGUGUCUGGUAGGAAGAAAGCAGUAUAAUAAAAAUCUAUUUCUAUUCAUCAUUAGGACACCUCAAUUGUGGUUUAAUCAGCCAAAAUCCAAUCGAUCUAACAUUUUGGUCCGUCGAGGCGGAUGUGAAACGAGUGGACUAGUAGAAUUGAGCUCAUCGAGAAGGCUGUCCCAAGACAUUUCAUCAUCUUGCCGAAAGUGAGUUCUUAUUUUUUAUAACCAUAAGUCAAUAAUUCAUUCGUG
Molecule: long non-coding RNA, 372 nt
Filed under: Androctonus crassicauda
Lineage: Eukaryota; Metazoa; Arthropoda; Arachnida; Scorpiones; Buthidae
Source: RNAcentral